Molecule: ribosomal RNA, 354 nt
Filed under: uncultured bacterium
Lineage: Bacteria
Description: bacterial SSU rRNA
Rfam family: Bacterial small subunit ribosomal RNA
Source: RNAcentral
UUUGCACAUUCAGCGGCAGACGGGUGAGUAACACGUAUCUAACCUUCCCCUUACUUGGGCAUAGCCUCUGGAAACGGAGAUUAAUUUCCGAUGUGGUGUACAUUUCGCAUGUUUUGCGCACCAAAGAUUUAUCGGUAAGGGAUGGGGAUGCGCUCCAUUAGGUUGUAGGUAGGGUAAUGGCCUACCUAGCCUAUGAUGGAUAGGGGUUCUGAGAGGAAGGUCCCCCACAUUGGAACUGCGACACGGUCCAAACUCCUACGGGAGGCAGCAGUGAGGAAUAUUGGUCAAUGGCCGGAAGGCUGAACCAGCCAAGUAGCGUGCAGGAUGACUGCCUUAUGGGUUGUAAACUGCUUU